UGUACAAGCAGCCUGCAUUCAAAUCCUGUUUCUGCCACUUGCUCUCCAUGAGACUUUGACUCCAUGAGAUUUCCACAUCAGAAAGUAUGUGUUAAGAAUGUUCACCCAUAGAGAUUCUAGAAGAAGUGAUUGUAUCAAGCUUCUAGGGUAUGCUUUGCUCUGGAUACGUGAGGUGCAUAAAUCAAUCGGAAAAUUGAAAGUUUAAACAUGGUGUUACAGUUUAGGGACCAAGCACCUAGGACAAUGUGACCAUCUUUGAAGACCUGACUUCUCAACUGAUGAUGCUUUCCCAAGGCAUGAAGACAGUUUCAAUGGAGUUACUCUAUAACGAGGCAACAGUACCCAUCCUUGACAACACAGCCAAGCAGAUAAAACAUCCAAGGCCAGGAUGGGCUAUCUCUUUUGAAAUUGCUGCUAGUGAGGUCCCAUAGACCCUCCUGCAAACAUCACAGGUUAUGACCUACUCUUGGGUACCGUCCAGAAUUCAACAGUAAGACACCAUUGCUGAGGAGAGCACAAGUUUGAGUAAUGUAGGACAUGGAUAAAUUGAACUGUUUUUCAUCUGGAAGCUUCAUCUUCCUGGAUAACUGUCAUAGGAUUAGAAGGUGCUUUGUAUGCUACCAAGAGAAAAGCAAUGAUCAGUUUAUCUGUGAGAACCGCAGGUACAGUAAUGAAAAGACAGAUCCUCUGCAUUAUCUUCAAGUCCCGAAGACUGCCUUCUGUUUGACUCAGUCUACUUGUAAGACGUUGAGUAUUCUAGUGGAGAAAAGAAAAGGAUGAGGAGAAGAUGAAGAGCCAACUCUCUUCACUUCCUUCCCCAAGAGUAAAAUAAUAAUAUCUUCACAUAACUCUA
This is a non-coding RNA of Rattus norvegicus (Norway rat), 853 nucleotides long. The record is from RefSeq and is a predicted model, not a curated record. NCBI's taxonomy places the organism in Eukaryota, Metazoa, Chordata, Mammalia, Rodentia, Muridae.